Mustela lutreola (European mink) is the source of this 694-nucleotide long non-coding RNA. RefSeq lists it as uncharacterized. NCBI's taxonomy places the organism in Eukaryota, Metazoa, Chordata, Mammalia, Carnivora, Mustelidae. The transcript is spliced from 3 exons. The record is from RefSeq and is a predicted model, not a curated record.
CUGUUUGUAAUCUAGACCUGAGGCCAGACUUUUCACGCCCAAGAUCCUGGAAAUUUCUGCUGAAACUCUUGGACCAUGACUCCUUUCUCUUCAAAGUCUCCACUAGAACUCAAGAAACAGAAUGAUGCAAGGAGGUCAGGACCCCUUUCCGCUCUGCUCUUCAAGACUCCUUUGACCGAAAGAGAGCACAUCUCAAGCAUGUCAAGUCUGGGAGAUGGACAUGGGUCUGGCUCCUCUUGGAUUCUGCCACAUUUUCAACACUAAACUCAUAUCAACAAAAGAAUUUUGAAGAGGAAUACAGGGAGUAAGACAAAUUGAUCUGAAACAAAAUAACACAUAUACCUGCGGAGAGGCUCUUUGGAGCCAGACUGUCUGAGUUCUAAUGGCAACUCAAAUACUCACGUGCUCUGUGAUUCUGGAAAAGCACAGUGAUACAAGCAAAUAGAGACCCCAACGUGUUGGAGAUCCAACAACCGGAAGAAGUCUCAUCGUUGAUUGAUACCGAGGAGAAAACAGGGGCCUCAUACAGGACUUAAAUGUUUCACACCAGAAAUAUGAGAAGUCACCUACUUGUAAUCCAUUGGUCAUUGCGAGUGAUAUGGUCUUGCCUAAUCAUUAGGUAACUGGGAAUAGUAACCUCACUUGCUGCUUUCCCAGAGCAAGAAAUAAGAUAUGAGUAUCAGAAGUACCUACC